This 443-nucleotide ribosomal RNA is filed under the name uncultured bacterium. Its description in RNAcentral is "bacterial SSU rRNA". It matches the Rfam family "Bacterial small subunit ribosomal RNA", at positions 420 to 882 of the family's 1533-position model. The record is from RNAcentral.
GGGUCGUAAACUUCUGUUCUAAGGGAAGAUAGUGACGGUACCUUAGGAGCAAGUCCCGGCUAACUACGUGCCAGCAGCCGCGGUAAUACGUAGGGGGCAAGCGUUAUCCGGAAUUAUUGGGCGUAAAGAGUACGUAGGUGGUUUUCUAAGCACGGGGUUUAAGGCAAUGGCUUAACCAUUGUUCGCCUUGUGAACUGGAAGACUUGAGUGCAGGAGAGGAAAGCGGAAUUCCUAGUGUAGCGGUGAAAUGCGUAGAUAUUAGGAGGAACACCAGUGGCGAAGGCGGCUUUCUGGACUGUAACUGACACUGAGGUACGAAAGCGUGGGGAGCAAACAGGAUUAGAUACCCUGGUAGUCCACGCCGUAAACGAUGAGCACUAGGUGUCGGGGUCGCAAGACUUCGGUGCCGCAGUUAACGCAUUAAGUGCUCCGCCUGGGGAGUA